GGNNGCGGNANNCNARCCGUGCAAAGGNAGCGUAANNACCNGUCUAUUAAUUGUAGACCCGUAUGAAUGGCAAAAUGAAGGUCUAACUGUCUCUUGUAGUAAAUCAAUUAAACUGAUCUCCCAGUCAAAAAGCUGGGAUACAAACAUAAGACCAGAAGACCCUGUGAAGCUUAAACUAAACUAUUAAAGCACAUAAUACCUCCUUUCGGUUGGGGCGACCUUGGAAAAAAAAAGAACUUCCAUACAUACGUGAUCAUCCACGACAAACCAGGCAAACAAGCCAAAAAAGACCCAGUACAACUGAUUAUUGAACCAAGUUACUCCAGGGAUAACAGCGCUAUCUUCUUCAAGAGCCCAUAUCAAAAAGAAGGUUUACGACCUCGAUGUUGGAUCAGGACAUCCUAAUGGUGCAGCCGCUAUUAAGGGUUCGUUUGUUCAACGAUUAAUAGUCCCACGUGAUCUGAUU
Molecule: ribosomal RNA, 466 nt
Filed under: Gracililima nyassae (Black file snake)
Lineage: Eukaryota; Metazoa; Chordata; Lepidosauria; Squamata; Lamprophiidae
Description: partial small subunit ribosomal RNA
Rfam family: Bacterial large subunit ribosomal RNA
Source: RNAcentral